Molecule: transfer RNA, 85 nt
Filed under: Myxococcales bacterium
Lineage: Bacteria; Pseudomonadati; Myxococcota; Myxococcia; Myxococcales
Description: tRNA-Leu
Rfam family: tRNA
About the family: Transfer RNA (tRNA) molecules are approximately 80 nucleotides in length. Their secondary structure includes four short double-helical elements and three loops (D, anti-codon, and T loops).
Source: RNAcentral
GCCGGAGUGGCGGAAUAGGCAGACGCACCGCACUCAAAAUGCGGCGAGACUUGCGCUCGUACCGGUUCGACCCCGGUCUCCGGUA